UGAAUCCUGUAAACACUCGAUCUGUUGGAGUUCAAGUUUUCGUGGAAGAGCAGCAGAGAGCGAGAAUCUUUGGUCAAGAGUGCAGCUUCGGUCUGAGAAGAGAUGGAGAACCUGCAGGUGUGGAAGAGGGUCGCAGGGGGCUGGAGCCUAACCCAGCAUACAUUGGGCGAAAGGCAGGAAUACACCCUGGACAGGUCGCCAGUCCAUCGCAGGGCACACACACCAUUCACUCACACACUCAUACCUACGGGCAAUUUAGACUCUCCAAUCAGCCUAACCUGCAUGUCUUUGGACUGUGGGAGAAAACCGGAGUACCCGGAGGAAACCCACGCAAACACGGGGAGAACAUGCAAACUCUGCACAGAGAGGCCCUGGCUGACGGGGAUUCGAACCCAGGACCUCCUUGCUGUGAGGCGGCAGUGCACCAUCCGUGCCGCCUUAAUAAUAAUAAUAAUAAUAAUAAUAAUAAUACAUUUUAUUUAUAGACCACUUUUCAAGGUACUCAGAGACAUUUUACAUAAAAGUGAUACAAUGCUUAAAAUACAAUUAAUAUAGACAAGAAUGUGUAACACCAGAUAUGUGAUAUUGGAAUACAUAUUUGCCAAGUGGUCUACAAAUAAUAAUACAUGCAAUAUUCACAGCUUCAUAUGACUGCUAAUAUUUAAGCUCAGCAUGUGGUGCAUUAUCAGGCUCAGUUUCAUUCUGUCCUGCUCUGGUUUCUCUGUGUGCACCUACACUCAUCGAGCACUGUAUUAAGAACAUUUUUACUUUAUUACACCUACUUAUUCAUGUGAUUAUCUAAUCAGCCAAUUGUGUGGCAGCAGUGCAAUGCAUACAAUCAUGUAGAUACGGGUCAGGAGCUUCAGUUAAUGGUCACAUCAACCAUCAGAAAAAUGUGAUCUAAGUGACUUUGACCAUGGAAUGAUUGUUGGUGGCAGACAGGGUGGUUUGAGUAUCUCAGAAACGGCCGAUCUCCUGGGAUUUUCACACACACUAGUCUCUAGAGUUUGCAAAGAUUGGUGCAAAAACAAAAUCAGCAGUUCUGCAGACAAAAACGUCUUGCUACUGAGAGACGUCGGAGGAGAAUGGCCAGACUGGUCAAAGCUUUAUAGAUAUUUUUUAGGCCUUUUUCAGCUUUAUUGGACAGUAUGGUAUAGAGAGACAGGAAGAAUGGGAGCGAGAGAGAGGGAAAGACACGCAACAAAUGUCAGACGGAUUUGAACCGCCGACGUCGCGGCUCGCAAUGAGCAUGCGGUCAGUGCUCUACAGGCUGCGCCACCGAGACACCCCAGACUGGUCAAAGCUGACAGGAAGGUGACAGUAACGCAAAUUACACAUUACAUUACAACAGUGGUAUGCAGAAGAGCACCUCUGGACUCUCAUAAUUCUAAGUGCGGCCUGUGGUUAAGGUAAAUGACUAGGACACGCAAAGUCGGUGGUUCUAAUCCCGGUGUAGCCACAAUAAAAUCUGCACAGCCGCUGGGCCCUUGAGCAAGGCCCUUAACCCUGCAUUGCUCCAGGGGAGGAUUGUCUAUUCAACUGUACGUUGCUCUUGAUAAAAGUGUCUGCCAAAUGCCUGUAAUGUAAUGUAAGUGGAUAGGCUACAGCAGUAGUCUAAAAAAUAAGUAUAAUAUUUUAUUUAAUAGGCAUUCAGUUAUCACAAACUGCUGGGAUACAUUCAGAGUAAUCUCUUGCCUCCUCUGUUACAGUCUACAGGCAUGGAGGUCAGGACUGAACCAGUUCUUAUCAAGCAGGAGAAACUGGAAGAGGUCUUGUGUUACAGUGACCCACAGCCCACACCUGUGGAAGAGGAACAGGUAACACAGCCCACACCUGUAGGAGAUGUGAAGAAACCGGACACAGAGCCCACACCUGUAGGACACCCAGAGGAGCUGAGUGAGCAGCACAGGUGUGGACACGGUGAUGAGGAGCUCAGUGGACUGGAGUUUGUUGUGAAGGCAGAGCAAGAGGAAGAGCAUGUAGCCCAGAGACUCAAUCAGACAGGAUGUGAACACAGUGCAGGAAGACUCAACAACCUGGCCUCUGAGUAUGUAAUGUAUGAGAGAGACAGUCAGCUAUGGACUUCCUUUACCCAAGAGGACAGUGACAUAGAGACUGAUGAUCCAGUUUGUUCUACCGCUAUAGAACAUUGCUCACAGAAUCUGUCAAUUCACACACAGCUACAACAUGCUCCUGCCACCAUGGAAGUCUCUGGAAACACACUGCCCUCUUUUGGGCCUUCAUAUUUCACAGAGUUUGAUAAGAUGGGUGAGAAGUCGUCUGCUUGCAGUGAGGAGCUCAGAUCAGAGGCCAUUCACACACAGCAGGGUCAGUACGGAGAGAGACUUGUGCACACAGUGGAGAGAGAGAAUCAGACAUUACUGCCCCAGCAGCAGCAACAUGGACCCUCAGUAAAACACAUGAGAGGCGGUGAGAGCCCAGCCCAGCCACACUCAGGCUCUCAGUAUGAGACCAGCUCUACUCUGAGUACCAGGGUUUUCAACACUGGGAAGACAGGAAAGACUCUAACGAGGUCUGGUAUGAGAGAGAGACUGUUAAGUUGUACACAUUGUGGAAAGAGUUUUCAACACUGUAGUCAACUUGAAAUACACCAGAGGAUUCACACGGGGCAGAAACCAUACAGCUGUACUCAUUGUGGAAAGCGAUUUAGUCAGCGGUCUAAUCUUAUGACACAUCAGCGAAUUCACACUGGGGAGAAACCGUUCUCUUGCGCACAUUGCGGGAUGCGUUUUGUCCAGCGGUCUUGUCUCAAAACGCACCAGCGAAUACAUACAGGAGAGAAACCAUUCAUUUGCAGCCAGUGUGGGAAGAGAUUUACUCGGAGAGCUACCCUUCAAGCACACCACAAAAGCCAUGCAGGAGAGAGACCGUGUCACUGCACCCAGUGCGGGAAGACUUUCAAGGGCCAUCGUAAUCUUGUUGUACACCAGAGAAUUCACACUGGCGUGAAACCAUACAGCUAAAUAACAGUAACUAAUGUUGGAAUACUUUUUUUUAUUGAAAGGGCCUUUCCAACUCAUCAGAUUUCUCUGAUUUAAACAGUUUUUAUUACUAAACUGUGGAUUAGCAAGAUAUUACAGUUAGAAGGACAGUUCGCUCACAAAAUUCAUGAAUGUCAGUGUUUCCCAUCAUGUAGCUUUAAUAAAAGGAUUUUUUUUUUUUUAAGUGUAGUUUUGGCUUAUUUUAUUUGAGCUGAACAUUGGCACACCCCCACCAAGAAGAAAUAAGGCUCCAGAGGCAGAAACCAGUCUAACCCUGUCAUACUUUCUAUUCUGCUGCUAUACUGUAAUUUUGACACACAUUGGAAUGCACAAUAAAAAUGUGUGUUAUGUAUGAUGUAGCAACCAUAGAUUUUGGGGGAACAUUGGAGGUGUUGUAGCUUUCCACUAGUUCCUACAAGUGUGCUUGUCCUACACAAAGACCAAUGCUGCAUUUUAUCACUGGGUUGACCAAGGACACAGGCUGGUCCUACAGGAGCAACAGCUAAAUAGUACUGCUGAUUUUUCCUGGAAAUUAUAUCUUGGUCUCCCAAGAUAACUGGGGAAUUUUAAUGACAUUUUCCAGGAAAUAUUUUCAGUAGGCCUCAUAUUUAUUAAUGUCAAUAUUUAUUCAUAUUCACCAUCAGACAUUGCCAUUGGCAUCGUUGAUUCCAUAGCAUUUCAUGCCUUAACAUAAAUCGUAUGCCCAUCGCUGUCAGCCAUGGGCUCACAAAUUGUAUUUGCGAUUUUUACUUGGUAGUUACGGUAAUUUUGACGUCAUCAACCUGCGGAAAUAAAUACUCUUCGCCGAAAACAGACGCUUGUGCCUGUGGCUCUUGAUUUUAUAAUUCCAUCCUUCAUCUCCGUAACGACGAAUAAAUACAUGCUGUUUUAUUAAGGCAUAAGAAAAGGUGGGGUAAAAUCGUUUGGUAAAAUGACGAAUUGUGCUCAUUUUCAGACACAGAUAACCACCAUUAUGGAAAUAAUGACAAAGUCAGCGAUAGCAGAAAUUGGUAAACUUUUUGACGACAGUUGCUCAGUUUUAUGUUUGAAAAUAGCGAGGAGUUUGAAUGAGAAUGAAGCGCUGAAAAAGUUGUUGCAGCAGGACCUGAGGAUGGAGCCACGACAAAAAGAGGAAAUGUCAGGACCGCGUGAGAAGCCUGUCAACACUCGAUCGGUUGGAGUUCAGGUUUUCGUGGAAGAGCAGCACAGAAAGAGAGACUUUGGUCAGGAGUGCAGCUUCAGACUGAGAAGAGAUGGAGAACCUGCAGGUGUGAAAGAGUGUGCAAAUAUGGAGGUCAGGACUGGACCAGUUCUUAUCAAGCAGGAGAGACUGGAAGAGGACUUGUGUUACAGUGACCCACAUCCCACGUCUAUAGAAGAGGAACAGAGGACACAGCCCACACCUGUAGGAGACAGGAAGAAAUCAGACACAGAGCCCACACCUGUAGGAGACCCAGAGGAGCUGAGUGAGCAGCACAGGUGUGGACACGGUGAUGAGGAGCUCAGUGGACUGGAGUUUGUGGUGAAGGCAGAGCAAGAGGAAGAGCAUGUAGCCCGACUCAAUCAGACAGGAUGUGAACCCACAAUCCUCAACAAUCUGGGCUCUGAGUAUGUAAUGUAUGAGAGAGACCGUCAGUUUUGGACUUCCUUGACGCAAGAGGACAGUGACAUAGAGACUGAUGAUCCAGUUUGUUCUAACACUACAGAACAUUUCUCACAGGGUCUGUCAAUUCACACACAGCUACAACAUGCUCCUGCCACCAUGGAAGUCUCUGGAAACACACUGCCCUCUUUUGGGGCUUCAUAUGUUGAGUUUGAUCAGAUGGGUGAGAAGCCGUCUGCUUGCAGUGAGGAGCUCAGAUCAGAGGCCAUUCACACACAGCAGGGUCAGUACAGAGAGAGACUUGUGCACACAGUGGAGAGAGAGAAUCAGACAUUACUGCCCCAGCAGCAGCAACAUGGACCCUCAGUAAAACACAUGAGAGGCAGUGAGAGUCCAGCACAGCCACACUCAGGCUCUCAGUAUGAGACCAACUCUACUCUUAAUACCAGGGUUUUCAUUUCAGGGAAGAUGGGCAAGACUAAUGGACAAGCUCACUUUGUAAAGAAACUGUUCAUUUGCACGUAUUGUGGGAAAGGUUUUGAUCGUUGUGGUCUGCUCUUCAGACAUCAACGAAUUCACACUGGAGAGAAACCAUACAGCUGUACACAGUGUGGGAAGUGUUUCAGUCAGAAAGGUAAUCUUGUCAAACAUGAGAGGGUUCACAGUGGAUAUAAACCAUUUGGUUGCACACAGUGUGAGAAGAGUUUUGCUCAUGCAGCUAACCUUAGAGCCCACCAGCGAAUUCAUACAGGAGAGAAACCAUAUCACUGCAAUCAGUGCGGGAAGAGUUUUGCUCAGAAGACCACUCUUGUUGUGCAUGAGAGGAUACACACAAGGGCGAAUCCAUACAACUGUAACUAGCGUGAGAAUACAUUUUUUUAAAUUAUAAUUUAAAGUCCUGUGAAACUCCUCAAGUUUCACAGUUUAAAUGAACCGGUUUCAUUGAGUAGUAGCAGUAUAUUUGAUUUGCAAUUUGAAGGCAAUUUGCUGACAGAUUUAAUGAGAACAUGUGACAACAUCAAGCAUGAGUGUUUCCAUCCAUGUGGCUUGAAUACAAUUAAAACAUUUUGAAUAAA
RNA transcript from Conger conger (European conger), 5681 nucleotides. It is a transcript of the gene named zinc finger protein 850-like, with no coding region annotated. The transcript has 5 exons. The record is from RefSeq and is a predicted model, not a curated record. NCBI's taxonomy places the organism in Eukaryota, Metazoa, Chordata, Actinopteri, Anguilliformes, Congridae.